RNAcentral lists this long non-coding RNA (693 nucleotides) under Ananas comosus (pineapple). RNAcentral describes it as "long non-coding RNA (ACOM_LNC008078)". Lineage: Eukaryota; Viridiplantae; Streptophyta; Magnoliopsida; Poales; Bromeliaceae. The record is from RNAcentral.
AAUUCCUUAGUCAAGUUAAAUUUUUCAUACCAACUGUUCCUAGAGCAAGUGGCAAAGGACUUGGUAAUUGGCAUUCGAGAUCCAAAUUCGAAUCCUAGUUGAUUCACAUUUCUAACUAAGUUUACUUCUAAAUGAAAUAAACGAAGCGAGUAGCGUGCUACCUAUCUCUCUCUCUCAAAAAAAAAAAAAAAAAAAAGAAGAUAAAUUUUUCAUGAGUACAAUCUAUACAUGUUAGAUGUGACUCGAAAUCUACUAUCGAUUCAGGUUCGGGUUUACGACUCGCCGACAGCUUCGCGGUGCGACCAAUUUGGAAAAAAAAAUUAUGGAGGAAAAAUGAAUAUCUGUGGUGGGUAGUGCGGGGGGCGGAGCCCCCCGCGGUACGGAUCGGAUACGAAACCCGUUAUGAGUUUUUCUUUUUUCGUUUUUCGUUUAUGCCCUAGAGGCGUGUGAUCGUGGUUGGUUGUAAUCUGAAGAACAUUGUAUUUCCUUUUCGUUCCAUAGUGAAGUUCUCUCCUCCCUCGCCCGUGGUUUUUCCCUGCAAAGGGUUUUCCACGUAAAUCAGUGUCUCUUUAUUUUCUGCUUGUGGUUUGAUUGUGUUUUGUGUUCGUCAUUUCGUUUCUGUUUGUGCGUUUGUCGUAACAGUUCCUUUUCCGCGCAUUGGCUCCGACCGAAAUGAUUUUUCAUUCUACACAU